GCUACUCGCAUUACUGGGAAACUUAUACAUCGACACCGAGAAUCCUGAGAGCGUAAGCAAAGGCCAUAUAACUCUUGAUAUACCGUCAUAUACGGUCGUUACGUUGUUCAGAAGAGCGUGAAAACUUGUGUUUAAGUAAGACCUUCCAACGUAGUCUGAUAGUUUUUGCAGUCUUCUUACGUAGAAACACAAGUUUCAAGCUACAAGUGUUGUCAGUAAAUCAUGCUUCCUGCUUUUCUGGCUGCAUUACGAAUAUAUGCACCAUAUAUAACGUUUCCAUUUGCUUUAGUAAUUGGUUUUGUUGGCUACAACGUUGAAGGCUUAUUUUCAGACAGGCGUACUCCUUACAAGAAAUUAAGCAUUGAAGAGGAACGGGAAGAGAGGAGAUUACAUGAUUUAGAAGGAAAGGAUACAACAUCAGUCGAUAGCUUAAAAGCUCGAACAUUUGUUCCUAAGACCAUUUUUGAAAAAAAUGUGUCACCAUCCCUACAAGAGAAACACAAUUGAAAUAGGCUUAAAAACAAUUUUUAAAUGUUGUUACUGCAUCUUAUGGUAUGAACAAUGUUAAAAGAAAUUGAAUUUUUGCAACUAUAGCAAAUCAUAUAAAUAGUUUUGAUUGUAUAAA
This is a long non-coding RNA of Limulus polyphemus (Atlantic horseshoe crab), 625 nucleotides long. RefSeq lists it as uncharacterized. The record is from RefSeq and is a predicted model, not a curated record. NCBI's taxonomy places the organism in Eukaryota, Metazoa, Arthropoda, Merostomata, Xiphosura, Limulidae. The transcript is spliced from 2 exons.